CCUACGGGAGGCAGCAGUGAGGAAUAUUGGUCAAUGGGCGCUAGCCUGAACCAGCCAAGUAGCGUGAAGGAUGACUGCCCUAUGGGCUGUAAACUUCUUUUAUAUGGGAAUAAAGUGAAGUAUGUAAACUGCUUUGCAUGUACCUUAUGAAUAAGGAUCGGCUAACUCCGUGCCAGCAGCCGCGCUAAGACGGAGGAUCCGAGCGUUAUCCGGAUUUGUUGGGUUUAAAGGGAGCGUAGGCGGGUUGUUAAGUCAGUGGUGAAAGUUUGCGGCUCAACCGUAAAAUUGCAGUUGAUACUGGCAUCCUUGAGUACGGUAGAGGUAAGCGGAAUUCGUGGUGUAGCGGUGAAAUGCUUAGAUAUCACGAAGAACUCCGAUUGCGAAGGCAGCCUGCUGGACUGUAACUGACGCUGAUGCUCGAAAGUGUGGGUAUCAAACAGGAUUAGAUACCCGAGUAGUC
Molecule: ribosomal RNA, 460 nt
Filed under: uncultured bacterium
Lineage: Bacteria
Description: partial 16S ribosomal RNA
Rfam family: Bacterial small subunit ribosomal RNA
Source: RNAcentral